GCCGUAUUUACACAAAAAUCCUAAAUGUCACAAACAGCUGGUUACACCAAAAAAAUUUAACAACAGAAGAGAUUUAAGAAUUUUUUGUUUUUCGUUUACGUGGAAUUGUUAACUUUCUGUACAGUUUUUCUCUAAAAUUAAUAAAAUAUAAUAAGUUUUUAAAUAAAAAACCCCACAAUAAUAUACUUUUCAAAAUGAUUGAAGUAACAGAUUUACAAAAAAUUGGUAUUGGUUUAUCGGGCAUGGGCAUAGGUUUUCUAUUCCUGGGUGUACUAUUUCUAUUCGACAAAGGUUUACUGGCCAUAGGAAAUAUUCUUUUCUUAUCUGGCUUGGGUUGUGUUAUCGGUUUGGAACGCACAUUUCGUUUCUUUUUCCAACGUCAUAAAAUUAAAGGUUCUAUAGCAUUCUUCGGUGGCAUUUUUGUGGUUCUAUGCGGUUUUCCCAUCAUAGGCAUGGUUAUAGAAUCCUAUGGUUUCUUUGCCUUGUUUAGCGGUUUCUUCCCAGUGGCCAUAAGUUUCCUAAGCCGUGUACCCAUUUUGGGUUCACUCAUCAAUACACCAUUUAUGCAAAAGCUCGUUGAAAAACUUGGUGGUGAUGCUAAUCGAACGAGGGUAUAGUUUUAAUAUAAUAUUGUUUUCUAAUUAUAAUUUCUCAUCUAAGGAUUUAUAUCAAUAUAAAACUUUAUAGUUUAAAUUUACUUUAAAUUAACUUAACUCAAGAGAAAACAAAACAAAAAAUAUUUCUUAUAGAAAAAUAAUCGAAAAAAAAGAAAAACGUUUUCGUUUUUUAAACAAAUUUUUCUAUAACAACUUUAAAACAAAAAACACUUUUUGUAUGUGAACAGAUUCCACUAUGACAUGAAAAUACCCGACCUAACGAUGAUGAGUGAACACAUAAUUUGAAAACACACAUUUGUAUUUGCGCACCCGAUUGUAAUAAAGGCGAUGGUGUAUGAUGUACAAACUCUAAUUGUAAAGAAUCUUAAGAAAAAAUAACAAAUAAAAUUAAAAUAAAUAUAAUUCAUAAAAACAUUAA
Molecule: RNA transcript, 1035 nt
Organism: Lucilia sericata (common green bottle fly)
Lineage: Eukaryota; Metazoa; Arthropoda; Insecta; Diptera; Calliphoridae
Gene name: vesicle transport protein GOT1B
Exons: 5
Source: RefSeq, a predicted model, not a curated record